GUUUAUAUCUCCGGGGACGAGAUUAUUCUCUUUUUUUUUCUCUUGCUGCCUUCAUCGCUUUAUCAUCCACGCCCCCUCCUUUGCUUCACUACAGCGAAUAAUUGCAGAAACCGGACCGUAAAUCUCCGGGAGUGCAGAACAGGACAACCGCUUAACUUAUCCCCUCUUGACUUUCCGUUCUACGUGUUUGAAGUGACUGCAACAGAGAGGCCUUCAGCCCAGUGUUUUCCAAAGUGGAGCGAGCAAUCAAUCAGUGGAGCAGCUCAGCAAACAAAAAGAGCACCCCUGUUGAGCUCUCACAUCUGAGACAAAUCCAUAUCUCAUAUUUCUUCCAUUUUCAUGCAGAUGGAGGGCAGAAAGGGGAGAGUAAGAUGUCUCCGCUCUCGUGACACUGUUCCUAUUACUCUGACAGUUUGAUGUGAUUGCACUGUCAGCCAUCGGAGUCUGCUGGUACUUUAAUAUUCUUGGUUAGCUGAGCUGGUUAGAUGAGGAAAGGUUUGGGAAGCAGUGUUCCUGGGCAUAGACUCAUCAUACAUAUUUCAGUAGCUUCAGACUACAUAUUUUAAAAGCUUCAAGCUUAGUAUCAACCCACAAGUGAAUACCAUAGUUUGUUGUAAGGCUGGCAUAUUUCUUUUUUUUUUCUUUUUUUUUUUUGCUCUUUUGUUGUAGUUCCAACAAGCAGCAAUGUUGCAGCAGCACCCACUGGUUUGUGAUCCCAGAUUUUCAAGCAUACAAGACCUUGAGAUACCUAAAUUCCUCCACUUGGGGGCAGCGACUGAACCCUGACCCAGAGUGGUCACACUGACCUUUUCCAGCCAAAAAUCAUGUCCAUUGACCUUGAGAUGCUAAUUCUCUUUCCCACUAAUUCUCACUCAGCUGCAAAUCACUCCAGUGUAAGCUAGAAGCCACCACCUGCUCAAGCCAUAAAAGUACGUCAUCUGCAAAAAGCAGAGACGAGAGCUUGAGGCCACCAAGGUGAGAGCCACUUGGCUUUGCCUAGAAAUGCUGUCCAUAAAAUUUAUGAACAGAAUCAGUAACAAAGGGCAGCCCUGCCAAAGUCCAGCACCCACUGAGAAUGAGUCCAACUUAUUGCUGGCAAUACAAACCAGGCCAGACACCGCGAUACAGCCAUAGGAUACCCCAAGGGAUGCAGUUAAAUGCCUUCUCAAGUUUGACAAAAUACGUCUCAACAACUCCCAGAAGGAUAUGUAUUCUAAAC
Astatotilapia calliptera (eastern happy) is the source of this 1219-nucleotide long non-coding RNA. The record is from Ensembl. Lineage: Eukaryota; Metazoa; Chordata; Actinopteri; Cichliformes; Cichlidae.